RNAcentral lists this long non-coding RNA (4614 nucleotides) under Sus scrofa (pig). RNAcentral describes it as "lncRNA (ENSSSCG00050050479.1)". The record is from RNAcentral. Lineage: Eukaryota; Metazoa; Chordata; Mammalia; Artiodactyla; Suidae.
UUUUUUUUUUUUUGAGGGGGAGGGGGAACUAUUUUAAAAUUUAAUUAGAUUUAAUUUUUUUACCAUUCCAGAGUUCCAGAAUAAAGACUUGCGUCCUGAAGGUGGCAGUAUCAAAACUCAAGAUAGCCUCAUUUCCUAGUGUCACAGAUGGGUAGUUAGUUACCCUUAAGCAGAACAUCGCCGGUAUUUACACUUUGAAUUUCUAGAAAGUUUCACUUCCUCUGGAUCUGCCACCUCCUUUGUUGGGGAGCCCAUUGUGUAUUCUCAAGGACUCAGUGUGUUCCACAAAUGAUAUCAAAACUCCCCCUUUCUGAAGAUGACGUGGUAAAAAGAGAAGAUCUUGGCUUUCUUUCAUGGGUUUGAGUGUAAGAGUGCUUGAAUACAAACUGAUUUCCUGGAAAUACAGCAGCCUCAACAUUUUUAAUCUGUGAAUGAUAAAGAAAAAAAAGUCACAGCCUCAGCUUGUGAGUCACAGUUAAAAAAAAAAAAAUCAACACAACCUUCAUCCCCAGCAAUUUUAUUUCUAAGUAUCUUUCCUAGACAUGUAUUUGCAAAUGAUCAUAGAAACAUGUUCAAGCAUACUCAAUGUAGCAUUGUUUGUAACAGCGGGAAAAAAAAAAAAAAAACACAACUGACCAACUAAGGAAAAAUGGCUGAGUAAACUAUAAUGCAGUGAGUGAUACAACAGAAUAUACCCCUAGUAUGCACAUCCGAAGGAUAAAAUGGAUCUAUCUAUCUAUCUAUCAAUCAUCUAUCUAUCUAUCUAUGCAUCUAUCAUCUAUCUAUCUAUGCAUCUAUCUGUGGAAAGAUCUUUACGACAAAUUUUUUUUGUUUGUUUGUUUUUGUUUUUUGUCUUUUCUGGGGCCACACCCACAGCAUGUGGAGUUUCCUAGGCUAGGGGUCUAAUCGGAGCUGUAGCCGCUGCCUAUGCCACAGCCAUGGCAAUGCCAGAUCCGAGCCACGUCUGUGACCUACACCACAGCUCCUGGCAAUGCUGGAUCCUUAACCACUGAGUGAGGCCAGGGAUCGAACCUACAACCUUAUGGUUCCUAGUUGGAUUUGUUAACCAUUGAGCCACAACGGGAACUCCCAAGACAAAUUGUUAAAUGAAGACAGUAAUUUGUAGAAAAAUAUUUCUCUGUGUAUAUGUACACACACAUACAUAAUAUAUACUGUAUGUAAACAAAGCAAAAAGGUUCAGAAGGCUACCCAUCAAACCAAUUGCAGUGAUUACCUCUGGGGAAGAAAGUUGGGCUUGGGUGGAAGUUGGCUUAAAGUGGGUUUUUGCUCUGAUUGAAUUUUUUACAAUGUGUAUUGAUGUACUGCUUUGAAAAUUAAGCAUGUAAGAGUAAGGGACAAGGAAGUAAAGCAAGAAGAUGUGCCGUGUAGUACAGACCGGAAACAACCAACCUGUAUCCAGGUUGUGGUCUGCCACUUAUUUGACCUCUCUACUUCAGUUUCAUCCCCUGUAAAAUGGGGGUUAUAACAGUGCCCACCUCAGAAGGUGGCUGUAAAGAAGAAAUACGAUAUGUGUCAAGUGGUUAGCACCUAGAAUGAGUUAUGUAAGUGUUAGCUAGUAUUAUUGAUGAAAAGAAGAAUAAAUCAUUGGUGAUUCCUCUUUAGUCAGAAAAAUUAUUACUUUUCUUCCUAUUUUGGCACUAGUGGGACCUCAGGAAAUGUGCCUUAAAAAAUCAAUAUCAAGAAGCCCUGGAGAUGAGGCUUUUCGUGGUCUUGCUAUUAUCCAGUCAUCCUGGAACAAAAGGCAGGAUGGUCAAUUGGAGUGUACAGCCCAGCCAACAUUCAUAUCAAACACUGUGCUGGGUGCCUGAGACAAAGACCAAGGAGACAAGUUUUCUGCUUUCAUGGAAUUCAUUUUGUGUGAUGAGAGGUAUGGUGGAGGGGAGAAUCCAAUCAGGAUACAGAUCAUCUCAACACAAUGUGGUGCUCUAAUGGGAACAAUGAAGGCAGUUAGAAAAGGAACAGGUGGGAACAAAGAAAGCUUCCUGUAAGAGGUGUUGACUCUGAAAAGAUGGAACCAGUUAGCUGUGACAAUAAGGAAAGAAUGGGCAUCCCAAGCAGAGGAAACAUGAUUUAUGUGAGGGAACUACUAGCAGUUUGGUGCUGUUUUUAAUGUAGUAUGUAUAGGUUUUUAUGAUGUGUGGGUGUUUGGGUAGCAAACAGAAGGGGUAGGGGAGGAAUGGUUGGAGGAAGUAAAGAGUAACAAGUUUGGAAGGGUAAUGACAACCAAAGGUGACCUUAGUUAUGUAGUAUCAAUGUUGUAAUAAGAGCAGAAAGCAAGAUUGUAGUGGAAAGAUUACUGAAGACAGCCUGCCUUGGCAGAUCAAGGGAUUCUAUAUAAGAAGUCUCAACUUUGAGAAAUAACCUCUUGAAAAAAUAUUACAAAACAGUUUCUGAAUUCUUCUAUGUUGAAUGUAGUAGGUCAUGGCAGGCCAGUGCUCUUGCUGCAACAUCUAGAGGGAAAAAAAGGAUAAGUUACAAAAUUCAUAGUUGAAAAGAUAUCAGAGAGUUGGGCAAGCAAGACUAUAUGAACUAAAUUUCCAGACAGGGUAGAGUCUUUCCUAGGUAAGCUGUAAAUGUCUGGCCAUUUUCUUCUCUGGAGAUAUUUGCCAGUUCUGGGUGAUGACUAAGAAUCAGGCUUGGCCUAGGAAGAGGGACUCCCUCCAGGGAAAAGAGAUACAAGUUGCUUUCGGUGGUUGUGUGGGGCUGGCUAGACAGAUUGUACACUCCUGUAGAGCCAAACACAAAGGACCAUUCGCUGGUUCCUAGGUGAUGCAUCAUGCUAGGAACUUAGCCAGAAGCUUAUAAAAGGUGGAGUGAAAGAUCUCAGUUUCACAAUACUUAAGAGAUGAAGUCUGACUCUAAGGAGGGGUCCUGCCACAAAUAUAUAGUCAGUUACUUCCUCAAGACAUUUGCUAAAUAUUGAAACUGCAUGGCAUCAGAGGGCAAAGAGAUAAACUCAAAACCUCUAAAGGGAAGAGCUGACUCUGAAGAGCUGGAGAGACACAGACCCAGCAGGUUCUCAAUCAAAAGCCAGGAGGGCCAUACCUUGGAAAUGGAUGAAAAGCUAUCCCUGUUUAGGUUGAGGUGAUCUGCUUACUUGAUGGAAAAUGACAUCAUAUGUAGCCUCUGGAUUCUUAUAUACAAUGUCCGGCAUAUAAUCAAAAUUACAAAAUAUGUAAAGAACAGGAAUUUGUGGCUAAUAAUCAAGAGAAGAAACAGACAACAUAAGCAAAGCCACAGAUGAUUAUAUAUUACAGUUAACUGACAAUGACUUUAAAUAUAACUAUGACUAAUAAAUUAAAGUACGGAAAAAUGGAUGAAAAUAUAGAGAAGUCCAACAGAGAAUUUCUAAUUUAUAUUUGUAUUUAUAAAAAAGAAUCAAAUACAUAGUGUAGAAAUGAAAAAUAUACUAUCUGAAGUUUUUAACAUUUUGGAUGAGUUUGGCAGCACAUGGCAAAGGCAGAGUGAAUGAACUUGAGGAUGAGUCAGCAGAAAUUAUCCAGAUUGAAAUACAUAAAAUAUUAUGGAAGAAAAAGAACAACACAUAAAGACAUGUGGAACACAAAUAGUCUAAGAACAGUCUGACUUACUUAUUACUUAAGAGAGAGAGAGUGGGGGGCAGAAGAAAUUUAUAAAAGCAUUAGCCCAAAAAUGUUUAAGAAGACUACUGAACCCCAGCAGGGUUAAAUAAAAGAAAAUUACACAUAACCAUAUCAUAACCAAACUGAUGAAAGCCGAAGAUGAAACAAAUCUUAAAAAUAGGUAAAAAGUGGAGUUUCCAUUAUGGCUCAGUGGGAACGAAUCUGACUAUUAUCUAUGAGGAUGCAGGUUUGAUCCCUGGCUUCGCUCAGUGGGUUAAGGAUGCAGUGUUGCCAUGAGCUGUGGUGUAGGUUGCAGACGAGGCUCAGAUCUGGCGUUGCUAUGGCUUGUGGCGAAGGCCAGUGGCUAUAGCUCCAAUUUGACCCCUAGCCUGUGAACCUUCAUAUGCUGUGGGUGCAGCCCUAUAAAAAAGGAGGUUAAAAACACAUUUUACCUUCAAAAGAACAAGAAUAAGAGUAAUUACAGUCUUUUCAACAGGAACUAUGGGAAAAGAUGAUGAAAUAGUAUCUUAAAAUUGCUGAAAGAAAAAAAUUUUAUGUACAUUACAAUGAUCACAAAUAUUUUACCUGUACCAGUUAUGGCUUUGUUGUCUGCUAUCUCUAUUUAUGGCCAUUUUUAGGUCUUUGGAACAUUCUUUAGCACUCUGAGUUAUGUGGCCUCACACUCUAUUAAUAUUAUAUAAUUUGAGGCUUUGCAAUUGUGCAGCAUAAAGAUCACCCAUGCUAGGCAUUCCCUUUGUGGCGCAGUGGUUAACAAAUCCAACUAGGAACCAUGAGGUUGUGGGUUCGAUCCCUGGCCUUGUUCCUGGGUUAAGGAUCUGGUGUUGCCAUGAGCUGUGGUGUAGGUUGCAGACACAGCUUGGAUCUGACAUUGCUGUAGCUUUGGCGUAGGCCAGCAGCUACAGCUCUGAUUAGACCCCUAGUCUGGGAACCUCCAUAUGCCUCGGGUGUAGCCCUGGAAAAGACAAAAAGACAGGAAAAAAAAAAAAAAAAA